UGGAUAACUGUGGUAAUUCUAGAGCUAAUACAUGCACCAAAGCUCUGACUUUUGGACGAGCGCAUCUAUUAGAUUAAAACCAAUCGGGCUUCAACCCGUCAUUUGGUGACUCUGAAUAGCUAUGGCUGAUCGCAUGGUCUUGUACCGGCGACGUAUCUAUCAAGUGUCUGCCUUAUCAACUUUCGAUGGUAGUUUAUGUGCCUACCAUGGUUGUAACGGGUAACGGAGAAUAAGGGUUCGACUCCGGAGAGGGAGCCUGAGAAACGGCUACCACAUCCAAGGAAGGCAGCAGGCGCGCAAAUUACCCACUCUCGGCAUGAGGAGGUAGUGACGAAAAAUAACGAGACCGUUCUCUUUGAGGCCGGUUAUCGGAAUGGGUACAAUUUAAACCCGUUAACGAGGAUCUAUGAGAGGGCAAGUCUGGUGCCAGCAGCCGCGGUAAUUCCAGCUCUCAAAGUGUAUAUCGUCAUUGCUGCGGUUAAAAAGCUCGUAGUUGGAUCUGCGCCUCAGGACCUGGUCCGUCUUAUGGACGAGAACUGGGCUCCUAGGCUAAUACUGCCGGUUUUCUUUACGUUACCUUCAUCGGUCGCGUAAGGUGGCCGGCGAGUUUACCUUGAAAAAAUUAGAGUGCUCAAAGCGGGCUAAUGCCUGAAUAUUCGU
This 660-nucleotide ribosomal RNA is filed under the name Physaloptera sp. JBSL-2016. RNAcentral's name for it is "SSU rRNA". It matches the Rfam family "Eukaryotic small subunit ribosomal RNA", at positions 140 to 806 of the family's 1831-position model. Lineage: Eukaryota; Metazoa; Nematoda; Chromadorea; Rhabditida; Physalopteridae. The record is from RNAcentral.